This 460-nucleotide ribosomal RNA is filed under the name uncultured bacterium. Its description in RNAcentral is "partial 16S ribosomal RNA". It matches the Rfam family "Bacterial small subunit ribosomal RNA", at positions 338 to 795 of the family's 1533-position model. The record is from RNAcentral.
CCUACGGGAGGCUGCAGUGAGGAAUAUUGGUCAAUGGACGAGAGUCUGAACCAGCCAAGUAGCGUGAAGGAUGACUGCCCUAUGGGUUGUAAACUUCUUUUAUAAAGGAAUAAAACGAGGCACGUGUGCCCUUUUCCAUGUACUUUAAGAAUAAGGAUCGGCUAACUCCGUGCCAGCAGCCGCGGUUAUACGGAGGAUUCGAGCGUUAUUCGGAUUUAUUGGGGUUAAAGGGUGCGGAGGUUGUUUUUUAAGUCAGCGGUGAAAGUUUGUGGCUCAACCAUAAACUUGCCGUUGAAACUGGAAGACUUGAGUGUGUGAGAGGUAGGCGGAAUGCGUGGUGUAGCGGUGAAAUGCUUAGAUAUCACGAAGAACCCCGAUUGCGAAGGCAGCUUACUAGACUGUGACUGACAUUGAUGCUCGAAAGUGUGGGUAUCAAACAGGAUUAGAUACCCUGGUAGUC